CUUAACCGACAGACUGCGUUUGAAACUGGUUAUCUUGAGUGUAACAGAGGAGAGUGGAAUUCCUAGUGUAGUGGUGAAAUACGUAGAUAUUAGGAAGAACACCAGUGGCGAAGGCGACUCUCUGGGUUAACACUGACGCUGAGGUACGAAAGCUGGGGGAGCGAACGGGAUUAGAUACCCCGGUAGUCCCAGCCGUAAACGAUGGAUACUAGGUGUUGGAGGUUCGAAUCCUUCAGUGCCGGAGUUAACGCAUUAAGUAUCCCGCCUGGGGAUUACGAUCGCAAGAUUGAAACUCAAAUGAAUUGACGGGGGCCCGCACAAGCGGUGGAGCAUGUGGUUUAAUUCGAAGCAACGCGAAGAACCUUACCGAGAAUUGACAUCCCGUGACCAUCUAUGAGAGUAGAGUUUGGCACUUAGUGCCACAC
This 425-nucleotide ribosomal RNA is filed under the name uncultured bacterium. RNAcentral describes it as "bacterial SSU rRNA". It matches the Rfam family "Bacterial small subunit ribosomal RNA", at positions 608 to 1029 of the family's 1533-position model. The record is from RNAcentral.